GGGUGACACAACAAGACCCUGUUUCAAAAACAAAACAAAACCAAAAAAGAUAAAGUAGGUAAGGCAAAAUUUGAACAUUGGUUUGAAGGCUGAGCUGCUUUUCAAAUACCUGUAUACUUUUGGUAUUAAAACUAGUUUCUGUGGUGUCUGUUGUUGUGAAGUUGUCUAAUGAGGUAGACUUUUCGAUUUUCAUUUUUGUAUCUUAUUGUGGC
This 212-nucleotide long non-coding RNA is filed under the name Homo sapiens (human). RNAcentral's name for it is "LHRI_LNC70.1". Lineage: Eukaryota; Metazoa; Chordata; Mammalia; Primates; Hominidae. The record is from RNAcentral.